UACGGAGGAUGCGAGCGUUAUCCGGAUUUAUUGGGUUUAAAGGGUGCGUAGGCGGAAUAUCAAGUCAGCGGUAAAAAUUCGGGGCUCAACCCCAUCCAGCCGUUGAAACUGGGGAUCUAGAGUGUGCGAGAGGUAUGCGGAAUGCGUGGUGUAGCGGUGAAAUGCUUAGAUAUCACGAAGAACUCCGAUUGCGAAGGCAGCCUGCUGGACUGUAACUGACGCUGAGGAGCGAAAGCGUGGGGAGCGAACAGG
Molecule: ribosomal RNA, 252 nt
Filed under: uncultured Bacteroidales bacterium
Lineage: Bacteria; Pseudomonadati; Bacteroidota; Bacteroidia; Bacteroidales
Description: partial 16S ribosomal RNA
Rfam family: Bacterial small subunit ribosomal RNA
Source: RNAcentral